AUCUAGUUGACGAGUCCCAAGUAGGACGAAAUGCGCACCCUGGAU
This 45-nucleotide non-coding RNA is filed under the name Trichobilharzia regenti. The record is from RNAcentral. Lineage: Eukaryota; Metazoa; Platyhelminthes; Trematoda; Strigeidida; Schistosomatidae.